GCUCUAAUAAUUUAAUUUAAAAUAUUGAUCUUGUAAAUCAAAAAUAAGAAUUUCUUUUAAAGCA
RNAcentral lists this transfer RNA (64 nucleotides) under Coleoptera sp. 2 AH-2016. RNAcentral describes it as "tRNA-Thr". It matches the Rfam family "tRNA". From Rfam's summary of the family: Transfer RNA (tRNA) molecules are approximately 80 nucleotides in length. Their secondary structure includes four short double-helical elements and three loops (D, anti-codon, and T loops). The record is from RNAcentral. Lineage: Eukaryota; Metazoa; Arthropoda; Insecta; Coleoptera.